UUCAAUUUUUGUUCUUUUUCCACAUUUUUUAAUUUUACAUCUGGGUUUCGAAUAGAUGAAAGGAGGUCUGAGCGGGGGGCAGGGGUGGAAGAAGGGGAAGGAAAAGA
Molecule: non-coding RNA, 107 nt
Filed under: Paramoeba aestuarina
Lineage: Eukaryota; Discosea; Flabellinia; Dactylopodida; Paramoebidae
Source: RNAcentral